GGCCGGCUCCUUAUUAACCUGAUCAGCCCCGGGGUUGCCUGUCUUAGCACUAACUCCGGGCCUGAAGAGGUUGACAAGAAGGGUC
RNAcentral lists this microRNA precursor (85 nucleotides) under Macacine gammaherpesvirus 4 (Rhesus lymphocryptovirus). Its description in RNAcentral is "microRNA rlcv-mir-rL1 precursor (rlcv-mir-rL1-1)". Its record names the gene rlcv-mir-rL1-1. The stretch from base 12 to 77 matches the Rfam family "mir-BHRF1-1 microRNA precursor family". From Rfam's summary of the family: The mature sequence is excised from the 5' arm of the hairpin. Lineage: Duplodnaviria; Heunggongvirae; Peploviricota; Herviviricetes; Herpesvirales; Orthoherpesviridae. The record is from miRBase by way of RNAcentral.